Molecule: ribosomal RNA, 460 nt
Filed under: uncultured bacterium
Lineage: Bacteria
Description: partial 16S ribosomal RNA
Rfam family: Bacterial small subunit ribosomal RNA
Source: RNAcentral
CCUACGGGAGGCAGCAGUGAGGAAUAUUGGUCAAUGGGCGCGAGCCUGAACCAGCCAAGUAGCGUGAAGGAAGACUGCCCUACGGGUUGUAAACUUCUUUUGUAAAGGAAUAAAGUGAACCACGUGUGCCUCUUUGUAUGUACUUUAAGAAAAAGGAUCGGCUAACUCCGUGCCAGCAGCCGCGGUAAUACGGAGGAUCCGAGCGUUAUCCGGAUUUAUUGGGUUUAAAGGGAGCGUAGAUGGGUUGUUAAGUCAGUUGUGAAAGUUUGCGGCUUAACCGUAGAAUUGCAAUUGAGACUGGCAGUCUUGAGUACAGUUGAGGUAGGCGGAAUUCGUGGUGUAGCGGUGAAAUGCUUAGAUAUCACGAAGAACUCCGAUUGCGAAGGCAGCUUACUAAACUGUCACUGACAUUGAUGCUCGAAAGUGUGGGUAUCAAACAGGAUUAGAUACCCCAGUAGUC